GAUGAACGCUGGCUACAGGCUUAACACAUGCAAGUCGAGGGGAAACGGCGUUGAGUGCUCGCACUCUUCGGACGUCGACCGGCGCACGGGUGAGUAACGCGUAUCCAACCUUCCCGUCACUGCGGGAUAACCUGCCGAAAGGCAGACUAAUACCGCAUGGCCUUCACUGACGGCAUCCGAGGUGAAGUAAAGCUUUUUUUUUGCGGUGACGGACGGGGAUGCGUCUGAUUAGCUGGUUGGCGGGGCGACGGCCCACCAAGGCGACGAUCAGUAGGGGUUCUGAGAGGAAGGUCCCCCACAUUGGAACUGAGACACGGUCCAAACUCCUACGGGAGGCAGCAGUGAGGAAUAUUGGUCAAUGGGCGGAAGCCUGAACCAGCCAAGUAGCGUGCAAGAUGACGGCCCUACGGGUUGUAAACUGCUUUUAUGCGGGGAUAAAGUGAGGGACGUGUCCCUGUUGCAGGUACC
RNAcentral lists this ribosomal RNA (468 nucleotides) under Prevotella sp. oral taxon G54. RNAcentral's name for it is "bacterial SSU rRNA". It matches the Rfam family "Bacterial small subunit ribosomal RNA", at positions 28 to 479 of the family's 1533-position model. Lineage: Bacteria; Pseudomonadati; Bacteroidota; Bacteroidia; Bacteroidales; Prevotellaceae. The record is from RNAcentral.